CAUCCAUACGCCAAUCCAUAACGUAUGGAAGGGAACCCGGUGAACUGAAACAUCUAAGUAGCCGGAGGAAAAGAAAGAAAACUCGAUUCCCAGAGUAGCGGCGAGCGAAAUGGGAGGAGCCUAAACCAGCGUGCGUGCAUGCUGGGGUUAUGGACUGCAUAAGUUACUGGAAACGAUAGUGGAAUGGUUUUGGGAAAGCCAGCCAGAGAGGGUGAAAGCCCCGUACACGAAAUCCGGACCGGGACGGCAGGAUCCAGAGUACCACGAGACACGUGGAACCUUGUGGGAAGUCGGGGGGACCACCCCCCAAGGCUAAAUACUCCUUAGUGACCGAUAGCGCAUAGUACUGUGAAGGAAAGGUGAAAAGGACCCCGGGAGGGGAGUGAAAGAGAACCUGAAACCCUGUGUUUACAAGCUGUGGGAGCACCUUAUGAGUGCGACCGCGUACUUUUUGUAGAACGGUCCGGCGAGUUACGCUGGCUGGCGAGGUUAAACGGUAGAGCCGUGGAGCCGAAGGGAAACCAAGUCUUAAGAGGGCGGAAAAGUCAGUCAGAGUAGACCCGAAACCGGGUGAUCUAUCCAUGUCCAGGUUGAAGUUGCCGUAAAAGGCAAUGGAGGACCGAACCCACAUCCGUUGAAAAGGGUGGGGAUGAGGUGUGGAUAGGGGAGAAAUUCCAAUCGAACCCGGAGAUAGCUGGUUCUCCUCGAAAUAGCUUUAGGGCUAGCCUCGAUAGAGUCUUGCGGAGGUAGAGCACUGAAUUUCCUAGGGGGCGUCAAAGCUUACCGAAGAAUAUCAAACUCCGAAUGCCGUGUAGAUGCUUAUCGGGAGUCAGACUAUACGAGAUAAGUUGGAUAGUCAAAAGGGAAAGAGCCCAGACCUCCAGCUAAGGUCCCAAAGUACGUGUUAAGUGGAAAAGGAUGUGGGAUUUCAAAGACAACCAGGAUGUUGGCUCAGAAGCAGCCAUACAUUCAAAGAGUGCGUAAUAGCUCACUGGUCGAGAGGUCCUGCGCCGAAAAUGUCCGGGGCUGAAACACGACACCGAAGCACAGGAUACCGCAAGGUAUGGUAGAGGAGCAUUGCUGGCGCGAUGAAGCAGUACCGUAAGGAGCUGUGGAGUGCCAGGAAGAGAGAAUGCCGGAAUGAGUAGCGAGAGAGAGGUGGGAAUCCUCUCGGCCGAAUAUCUAAGGUUUCCAGGGUAAAGCUGAUCUGCCCUGGGUAAGUCGGGGCCUAAGGCGAGGACGAGAGUCGUAGCCGAUGGACAACAGGUUGAGAUUCCUGUACUGCAGUAAGACAGAACUGUGGGGACACGUGUGGAGAGCAUAGGCGCGGAAUGGAAAGCCGCGUGCAAGCGAGGUAGGAGUCCUGUAGGAAAAACCGCAGGGCAAUCCGAAGGCGUGAUGCGGACCGAAAUCUAGUAGGGAAGUAUGUGAGCCAUGCGUCAAGAAAAGCCGCUAUUGUUCUUAUUGUACCCGUACCGUAAACCGACACAGGUGGAUGAGGAGAGAAUCCUAAGGCCGACGGAAGAAGCAUUGUUAAGGAACUCGGCAAAAUGACCCCGUAACUUCGGGAGAAGGGGUGCCACAGAGAUGUGGCCGCAGAGAAUAGGCUCAAGCAACUGUUUAGCAAAAACACAGGUCUAUGCAAAACCGAAAGGUGAGGUAUAUGGGCUGACGCCUGCCCGGUGCUGGAAGGUUAAGAGGAGAGGUUAGCGCAAGCGAAGCUUUGAAUUUAAGCCCCAGUAAACGGCGGCCGUAACAAUAACGGUCCUAAGGUAGCGAAAUUCCUUGUCGGGUAAGUUCCGACCCGCACGAA
Molecule: ribosomal RNA, 1813 nt
Filed under: human gut metagenome
Description: bacterial LSU rRNA
Rfam family: Bacterial large subunit ribosomal RNA
Source: RNAcentral